CCUACGGGUGGCAGCAGUCGAGAAUCAUUCACAAUGGGCGAAACCCUGAUGGUGCGACGUCGCGUGGGGGAAUGAAGGUCUUCAGAUUGUAAACCUCUGUUAUGUGGGAGCAAAUUAAAAAGAUAGUACCACAAGAGGAAGAGACGGUUAACUCUGGGCCAGCAGCCGCGGUAACACAGAGGUCUCAAGCGGGGUUCGGAAUCACUGGGCGUAAAGCGUGCGUAGGGUGUUAUGUAAGUCGCGUGUGAAAGGCGCGGGCGCAACCCGCGGACGGCACAUGAUACUGCGAUCCUAGAGUAAUGGAGGGGGAUGCGGAAUGCGCGGUGUAGCAGUGAAAUGCGUAGAUAUCGAGAGGAACACUCGUGGCGAAGGCGGGUUCCUGGACAUUAACUGACGCUGAGGCACGAAGGCCAGGGGAGCGAAAGGGAUUAGAUACCCGGGUAGUC
Molecule: ribosomal RNA, 446 nt
Filed under: uncultured bacterium
Lineage: Bacteria
Description: partial 16S ribosomal RNA
Rfam family: Bacterial small subunit ribosomal RNA
Source: RNAcentral